GAGAACUAGAAAACCCAGGGGGUUGGAGUGAAUGGCCUGGGUCACACAGCGAGCCUGGAUUGGAAUCAGGUGGUGACAAAACCUCCUUUCUGUAUCCAGGAUUCCCUUCAACUCUCACCGAAAGGCCUGCGGCCUGCGUGUUAGCUGCUUUGUGGGUCAGGGAUGGCUCCCUGCUCUCUUGGACUCGCAGCAGAGGUCACAAAGCUUCCAGAAGGUUAGGCUGGGAUCCUGGAGAAUCUGGGGUUGCUUGGCGCCUCCCUGGAGCCCUGGAUAACACCCUUCUCUUCCACGUCACCUGCUCUCCCAUUCAGUCCUCACUUCAGAGAGACAGCCUAGAACUGAUUCUUCAAAAGUACAUAAGGAAUGUUUGUGUGCAGUUGCACCGAGUGCUGUCUCUUGAUUCUGCAUGUCCUUCCCCCGGAGUAAUUUGGGACAAGGUCACUGUUCACCUGGCGCACGUCCUCACCCCCAAUCUACCUGCUGACAGGCCUGCAAGGCUGAGAGGCUGUGACAGCAGGAGG
RNAcentral lists this long non-coding RNA (521 nucleotides) under Piliocolobus tephrosceles (Ugandan red Colobus). Its description in RNAcentral is "lncRNA (ENSPTEG00000001661.1)". Lineage: Eukaryota; Metazoa; Chordata; Mammalia; Primates; Cercopithecidae. The record is from RNAcentral.